RNAcentral lists this long non-coding RNA (439 nucleotides) under Phaseolus vulgaris (common bean). RNAcentral describes it as "long non-coding RNA (PVUL_LNC004448)". Lineage: Eukaryota; Viridiplantae; Streptophyta; Magnoliopsida; Fabales; Fabaceae. The record is from RNAcentral.
CCAAACUCAUAUAAAUUAACUUGUAUAUUGAUCAAAAUGUACCCAACCAGACAAAUACAUAAAUAUAGAGAUAAAUUCAGAGAAUCAAAAUGUACAUUAUAAACAAGUAAUCAAAUUACAUAUAAUCCCUACACUAUUGAUAAGUUAUCCUAGAGUUAUAAAAAUUUACGAAAUAUGUGGACCAAGAAUGUCUCACAUAUGACAUGGCUUCCGAAUUCAUGGGUAUUUCUUCCGUGAAUAACUGCAUUGCAAAAUAUAGUUGACAUAAAUUAGUUUUUAGAUACAUAUAUGUUCAAAAAUUAUAAAAAUGAUUUAACAUAUCAUGUUACCUCUUUCCAACUAGUUUUAACACCUAGUCUUAUGAUGGUAAUCAUCCAUUGCAUAAUGUAAUAGCCACACUCAUAGCUUCCUGGUUGUUUAUUACACUAUAAUUCAAUAA